GACGAACGCUGGCGGCGUGCCUAAUACAUGCAAGUAGAACGCACAGUUUAUACCGUAGCUUGCUACACCAUAGACUGUGAGUUGCGAACGGGUGAGUAACGCGUAGGUAACCUGCCUGGUAGCGGGGGAUAACUAUUGGAAACGAUAGCUAAUACCGCAUAAUAUUGAUUAUUGCAUGAUAAUUGAUUGAAAGAUGCUAUUGCAUCACUACCAGAUGGACCUGCGUUGUAUUAGCUAGUAGGGGAGGUAACGGCUCACCUAGGCGACGAUACAUAGCCGACCUGAGAGGGUGAUCGGCCACACUGGGACUGAGACACGGCCCAGACUCCUACGGGAGGCAGCAGUAGGGAAUCUUCGGCAAUGGACGAAAGUCUGACCGAGCAACGCCGCGUGAGUGAAGAAGGUUUUCGGAUCGUAAAGCUCUGUUGUAAGAGAAGAACGGGUGUGAGAGUGGAAAGUUCACACUGUGACGGUAUCUUACCAGAAAGGGACGGCUAACUACGUG
RNAcentral lists this ribosomal RNA (505 nucleotides) under uncultured bacterium. Its description in RNAcentral is "partial 16S ribosomal RNA". It matches the Rfam family "Bacterial small subunit ribosomal RNA", at positions 28 to 507 of the family's 1533-position model. The record is from RNAcentral.